CCUACGGGAGGCAGCAGUGAGGAAUAUUGGUCAAUGGGCGCGAGCCUGAACCAGCCAAGUCGCGUGAAGGAUGACUGCCCUACGGGUUGUAAACUUCUUUUGUAAAGGAAUAAAGUGAGGCACGUGUGCCUUUUUGUAUGUACUUUAUGAAUAAGGAUCGGCUAACUCCAUGCCAGCAGCCGCGGUAAUACGGAGGAUCCGAGCGUUAUCCGGAUUUAUUGGGUUUAAAGGGAGCGUAGAUGGGUUGUUAAGUCAGUUGUGAAAGUUUGCGGCUCAACCGCAAAAUUGCAAUUGAUACUGGCAGCCUUGAGUACAGUUGAGGUAGGCGGAAUUCGUGGUGUAGCGGUGAAAUGCUUAGAGAUCACGAAGAACUCCGAUUGCGAAGGCAGCUUACUAAACUGCCACUGACAUUGAUGUGCGAAAGUGUGGGUAUCAAACAGGAUUAGAUACCCCAGUAGUC
RNAcentral lists this ribosomal RNA (460 nucleotides) under uncultured bacterium. RNAcentral's name for it is "partial 16S ribosomal RNA". It matches the Rfam family "Bacterial small subunit ribosomal RNA", at positions 338 to 795 of the family's 1533-position model. The record is from RNAcentral.